RNAcentral lists this ribosomal RNA (252 nucleotides) under uncultured bacterium. Its description in RNAcentral is "partial 16S ribosomal RNA". It matches the Rfam family "Bacterial small subunit ribosomal RNA", at positions 524 to 776 of the family's 1533-position model. The record is from RNAcentral.
UACGUAGGGGGCAAGCGUUGUCCGGAUUUAUUGGGCGUAAAGAGCGUGUAGGCGGCCAGGUAGGUCAGCUGUGAAAACUCGAGCUCAACCUCGAGACGCCGGUGGAAACCAUCUAGCUAGAGUCCGGAAGAGGAGAGUGGAAUUCCUGGUGUAGCGGUGAAAUGCGCAGAUAUCAGGAAGAACACCCGUGGCGAAGGCGGCUCUCUGGGACGUGACUGACGCUGAGACGCGAAAGCGUGGGGAGCGAACAGG